Long non-coding RNA from Alexandromys fortis (reed vole), 306 nucleotides. RefSeq lists it as uncharacterized. NCBI's taxonomy places the organism in Eukaryota, Metazoa, Chordata, Mammalia, Rodentia, Cricetidae. The record is from RefSeq and is a predicted model, not a curated record. The transcript is spliced from 3 exons.
CAGAAGAGGCUUAGUGCUCCAGGCUUUCCGAUUAAGGGGUAGUUCAAAAGGUUGUGAACAGAAAGCACCGUAAAAGAGUCUACAGCUCUUGAGCCUGGAAGACAACGGGCUUGACUAUGGAGCUGUGGAGGAAGAAGAGGCAAGCGAUCCGUGUCUCUAAGAUGAGGACGGCCGAUGGAAGAGUGCCCACGGAUCUUCUAUAGGAGCUCUGCCAUGUCCACACUGGGGUGGCAUCCAGCAGCUCCUAGAAACGUUCUCGUCAUUUGUGUCUGGUAUCCAAGAGUCCAAGUGACUGAGACGCCCCAG